UAAAGUAGUCUUGUUACCAAAGGGUUCUUGGCAUAUAUGUUUUAAGAUUCCUAUGUAUCAAGACUUUCUCUCUCCUCCAUCAUAACAAGUCAUAAUGUGUGUUUUUGUCAUAUUAAUACAAAACAACAGAACGGUUGUGCCUUCCCCCCGCAUUUUAGUAUAAGUGGUCGUUCUUUAAUUUUGGCUUUGUUUUUUAAUAACAGUUCUCAGCUUCAGUCUGGUGAGUCGGACAGUGAUGAUGUCAGUACUGUCUCCAUGUGUGAGUGUAUCUGUGCAUGUG
RNAcentral lists this long non-coding RNA (280 nucleotides) under Bos taurus (domestic cattle). RNAcentral's name for it is "long non-coding RNA NONBTAT012595". Lineage: Eukaryota; Metazoa; Chordata; Mammalia; Artiodactyla; Bovidae. The record is from RNAcentral.